GUAGGUGAACCUGCGGAAGGAUCAUUAACACGUAUCCAACGUUAAACAACCCUGUGAACUUUCAGACGGCGUCGUCGCCCCGGCGGAACAGCAAUCCCGGUAAAUCAAUUGGCGGAAAGGUCUUGAUUCGGGACCUCUGAACCAAAGGGUGUCAGCGUGCCUAGAAGCAGUGGCAUGGUUUCCCUAAGCAGUGCAGAAGGAUCCACUGAGUAAGGAUAACGCAUCUCGGUUGCCAGAGGUCGAUUACCGGCCGGCAGACAUGUCACAGGGCUAUAUGCCCCCUUUCACCCCUUGCCUAACAACGGCCCCGCGGAAACGUAAGGGCACAAAAACGAACAACUGUUAACAAUGGAUAUCUUGGUUCUC
RNAcentral lists this unclassified non-coding RNA (366 nucleotides) under rhizosphere metagenome. RNAcentral's name for it is "partial ribosomal RNA internal transcribed spacer region". The record is from RNAcentral.